UACGUAGGGUGCGAGCGUUGUCCGGAAUUAUUGGGCGUAAAGGGCUCGUAGGCGGUCUGUUGCGUCGGGAGUGAAAACUCAGGGCUUAACCCUGAGCCUGCUUCCGAUACGGGCAGACUAGAGGUAUGCAGGGGAGAACGGAAUUCCUGGUGUAGCGGUGAAAUGCGCAGAUAUCAGGAGGAACACCGGUGGCGAAGGCGGUUCUCUGGGCAUUACCUGACGCUGAGGAGCGAAAGCCAGGGGAGCAAACGGG
This 253-nucleotide ribosomal RNA is filed under the name uncultured bacterium. Its description in RNAcentral is "partial 16S ribosomal RNA". It matches the Rfam family "Bacterial small subunit ribosomal RNA", at positions 524 to 776 of the family's 1533-position model. The record is from RNAcentral.